GAUGAAGAACGUAGCGAAAUGCGAUAAGUAAUGUGAAUUGCAGAAUUCAGUGAAUCAUCGAAUCUUUGAACGCUCAUUGCGGCCGCCAGUAUUCUGGCGGGCAUGCCUGUUCGAGCGUCAUUUCAACCAUCAAGCCCCAGGCUUGUGUUGGGGACCUGCGGCUGCCGCAGGCCCUGAAAACCAGUGGCGGGCUCGCUGUCACACCGGGCGUAGUAGAUUUUAUCUCGCUCAGGGCGUGCUGCGGGUUCCGGCCGUUAAAAAGCCUUUUUUACCCAAGGUUGACCUCGGAUCAGGUAGGAAGACCCGCUGAACUUAAGCAUAUCAAUAAGCGGAGGA
Molecule: unclassified non-coding RNA, 336 nt
Filed under: soil metagenome
Description: partial contains 5.8S ribosomal RNA, internal transcribed spacer 2, and large subunit ribosomal RNA
Rfam family: 5.8S ribosomal RNA (bases 1-120)
Source: RNAcentral